RNAcentral lists this ribosomal RNA (465 nucleotides) under Vreelandella stevensii. RNAcentral describes it as "partial 16S ribosomal RNA". It matches the Rfam family "Bacterial small subunit ribosomal RNA", at positions 338 to 795 of the family's 1533-position model. The record is from RNAcentral. Lineage: Bacteria; Pseudomonadati; Pseudomonadota; Gammaproteobacteria; Oceanospirillales; Halomonadaceae.
CCUACGGGUGGCUGCAGUGGGGAAUAUUGGACAAUGGGCGAAAGCCUGAUCCAGCCAUGCCGCGUGUGUGAAGAAGGCCUUCGGGUUGUAAAGCACUUUCAGUGGGGAAGAAAGCCUUGGGGCUAAUACCCUCGAGGAAGGACAUCACCCACAGAAGAAGCACCGGCUAACUCCGUGCCAGCAGCCGCGGUAAUACGGAGGGUGCGAGCGUUAAUCGGAAUUACUGGGCGUAAAGCGCGCGUAGGCGGUCUGAUAAGCCGGUUGUGAAAGCCCCGGGCUCAACCUGGGAACGGCAUCCGGAACUGUCAGGCUAGAGUGCAGGAGAGGAAGGUAGAAUUCCCGGUGUAGCGGUGAAAUGCGUAGAGAUCGGGAGGAAUACCAGUGGCGAAGGCGGCCUUCUGGACUGACACUGACGCUGAGGUGCGAAAGCAUGGGUAGCAAACAGGAUUAGAUACCCUAGUAGUC